Molecule: non-coding RNA, 215 nt
Organism: Pelobates cultripes (western spadefoot toad)
Lineage: Eukaryota; Metazoa; Chordata; Amphibia; Anura; Pelobatidae
Source: the annotation of a GenBank genome assembly
AAUAAGCCUUAAUAGUACUCUAGCUUAGCACGCCCUCUGCUUCUGUUAAACUAACGGACAUGGAAGAAAACCUCCCUGGCUGUUUGAGCGACAGCUAGCAAGAUGUCUGUGUCCCAUUAUAAACGGUCUCAAAUGUGACAGAUUCCAGCCACAUCAUAGCUUCAGCAAGUGUCUGGAGAGAUCCUGUGAUAUCUACCUCUUAGUAGACACUGCAU